UCUAUCUUAAAAUCAUGGAUCACACCAACUAACUAAGUCCACGCAAGAAUUAGAUUUACAACCUUAAUUGUACCAUGUCAAACCAAAAAUCAAUAGAAAUAAUUGAAGAUAGCUGCUGCCAACCUAAGCAAAUCAAGGUUUCUCGAUCAAAAUCCAUAUUAUAAACACUAGUUAACUCAUUUACCAAUAAAACUUAACUUAUCAUGUCAAAUGCCUCAUAUCAAAGCAGAAAUUUUAAGCAAAUAGCUAGUUUGGCUGCUACCAUAUCACAAUCCUUCUAAUUUCUUUCAUAGGAUCUACAAUAAACACCCUAACUUACACAUUUCCUUGAAAAAUGCAGUUAUAGUGUCAAUUAAUAGUCAAAAAUCAGAUUUUCCCAACUUUUAGUCGUGUGAAUAGUGUUUUAGGAACCUAGCAUUUCUCAUUCAUGAUUCUACCAACCCUUUCCUCAAAUGAACUAUUGAAUAAGUUAAAUAAUUGAAGGAAAAGGGAUCAUAUAGA
RNAcentral lists this long non-coding RNA (501 nucleotides) under Jatropha curcas. Its description in RNAcentral is "long non-coding RNA (JCUR_LNC001353)". The record is from RNAcentral. Lineage: Eukaryota; Viridiplantae; Streptophyta; Magnoliopsida; Malpighiales; Euphorbiaceae.